AGAGUUUGAUCCUGGCUCAGAUUGAACGCUGGCGGCAGGCCUAACACAUGCAAGUCGAGCGGUAGAGAGGUGCUUGCACCUCUUGAGAGCGGCGGACGGGUGAGUAAUGCCUAGGAAUCUGCCUGGUAGUGGGGGAUAACGCUCGGAAACGGACGCUAAUACCGCAUACGUCCUACGGGAGAAAGCAGGGGACCUUCGGGCCUUGCGCUAUCAGAUGAGCCUAGGUCGGAUUAGCUAGUUGGUGAGGUAAUGGCUCACCAAGGCGACGAUCCGUAACUGGUUUGAGAGGAUGAUCAGUCACACUGGAACUGAGACACGGUCCAGACUCCUACGGGAGGCAGCAGUGGGGAAUAUUGGACAAUGGGCGAAAGCCUGAUCCAGCCAUGCCGCGUGUGUGAAGAAGGUCUUCGGAUUGUAAAGCACUUUAAGUUGGGAGGAAGGGCAGUUACCUAAUACGUAUCUGUUUGACGUACCG
RNAcentral lists this ribosomal RNA (475 nucleotides) under Pseudomonas sp. RHF42. RNAcentral's name for it is "bacterial SSU rRNA". It matches the Rfam family "Bacterial small subunit ribosomal RNA", at positions 8 to 480 of the family's 1533-position model. The record is from RNAcentral. Lineage: Bacteria; Pseudomonadati; Pseudomonadota; Gammaproteobacteria; Pseudomonadales; Pseudomonadaceae.